GAAGCCGGCCAGACAGCCGCUGCGAGUGGAAGAAGCGAGCCUUUUACGAUGGUUCGUACCGCUCGGAGAGGAAAGUCCGGGCUCCAUAGGGUAGGGUGGCGGCUAAUCACCGCCCGCCGCGAGGCGAGCAACAGGGCCACAGAGAAUAGACCGCCGAUGGCCCCGACUUUGCAGCGCGCAAGCGCUGCAAAGUCUCGUUUACUAGAGGGUGGGCGCAUGCUUAUCCACUGGUGGCGAACGGCAGCACUCGUGCUGCCGUAGUGGCACGAGCCGUUUUUUGGCGCGUGGCACAGGGAUCAGGUAAGGGUGAAACGGUGCGGUAAGAGCGCACCGCGUCCGCUGUAAGGCGGACGGCGAGGCAACCUGCACCCGGAGCAACACCGAAUAGGCAAGCGAUGACGUGACCCGCCGAGCUUGCGGGUGGGUGGCUUGAGCCCGGGAGCAAUUCCGGGCCUAGAGGAAUGGCUGUCGGGGCCGCAAGGCUCUUACAGAACCCGGCUUAUCGGCCGGCUUCCCCU
This 518-nucleotide RNase P RNA is filed under the name Betaproteobacteria bacterium. Its description in RNAcentral is "RNase P RNA component class A". It matches the Rfam family "Bacterial RNase P class A". From Rfam's summary of the family: Ribonuclease P (RNase P) is a ubiquitous endoribonuclease, found in archaea, bacteria and eukarya as well as chloroplasts and mitochondria. Its best characterised activity is the generation of mature 5'-ends of tRNAs by cleaving the 5'-leader elements of precursor-tRNAs. The record is from RNAcentral. Lineage: Bacteria; Pseudomonadati; Pseudomonadota; Betaproteobacteria.